GUGGGGAAUUUUGGACAAUGGGCGCAAGCCUGAUCCAGCAAUGCCGCGUGCAGGAAGAAGGCCUUCGGGUUGUAAACUGCUUUUGUACGGAACGAAACGGUCCUGGUUAAUACCUGGGGCUAAUGACGGUACCGUAAGAAUAAGCACCGGCUAACUACGUGCCAGCAGCCGCGGUAAUACGUAGGGUGAGAGCGUUAAUCGGAAUUACUGGGCGUAAAGCGUGCGCAGGCGGUGCUGUAAGACAGGCGUGAAAUCCCCGGGCUCAACCUGGGAAUUGCGCUUGUGACUGCAAGGCUGGAGUGCGGCAGAGGGGGAUGGAAUUCCGCGUGUAGCAGUGAAAUGCGUAGAUAUGCGGAGGAACACCGAUGGCGAAGACAAUCCCCUGGGCCUGCACUGACGCUCAUGCACGAAAGCGUGGGGAGCAAACAGGAUUAGAAACCCCGGUAGUCC
RNAcentral lists this ribosomal RNA (450 nucleotides) under uncultured bacterium. RNAcentral describes it as "partial 16S ribosomal RNA". It matches the Rfam family "Bacterial small subunit ribosomal RNA", at positions 354 to 796 of the family's 1533-position model. The record is from RNAcentral.